UACGAAGGGUGCAAGCGUUACUCGGAAUUACUGGGCGUAAAGCGUGCGUAGGCGGUUUGUUAAGUCUGUCGUGAAAGCCCUGGGCUCAACCUGGGAAUUGCGAUGGAUACUGGCAAGCUAGAGUACGGUAGAGGAUGGUGGAAUUCCCGGUGUAGCGGUGAAAUGCGUAGAUAUCUGAAGGAACAUCAGUGGCGAAAGCGACUUCCUGGACCAAUACUGACGCUCAAGUGCGAAAGCGUGGGGAGCAAACAGGG
This 254-nucleotide ribosomal RNA is filed under the name uncultured bacterium. RNAcentral's name for it is "partial 16S ribosomal RNA". It matches the Rfam family "Bacterial small subunit ribosomal RNA", at positions 524 to 777 of the family's 1533-position model. The record is from RNAcentral.